RNAcentral lists this ribosomal RNA (900 nucleotides) under Latilactobacillus sakei. RNAcentral's name for it is "bacterial SSU rRNA". It matches the Rfam family "Bacterial small subunit ribosomal RNA", at positions 57 to 915 of the family's 1533-position model. Lineage: Bacteria; Bacillati; Bacillota; Bacilli; Lactobacillales; Lactobacillaceae. The record is from RNAcentral.
GCAAGUCGAACGCACUCUCGUUUAGAUUGAAGGAGCUUGCUCCUGAUUGAUAAACAUUUGAGUGAGUGGCGGACGGGUGAGUAACACGUGGGUAACCUGCCCUAAAGUGGGGGAUAACAUUUGGAAACAGAUGCUAAUACCGCAUAAAACCUAACACCGCAUGGUGUAGGGUUGAAAGAUGGUUUCGGCUAUCACUUUAGGAUGGACCCGCGGUGCAUUAGUUAGUUGGUGAGGUAAAGGCUCACCAAGACCGUGAUGCAUAGCCGACCUGAGAGGGUAAUCGGCCACACUGGGACUGAGACACGGCCCAGACUCCUACGGGAGGCAGCAGUAGGGAAUCUUCCACAAUGGACGAAAGUCUGAUGGAGCAACGCCGCGUGAGUGAAGAAGGUUUUCGGAUCGUAAAACUCUGUUGUUGGAGAAGAAUGUAUCUGAUAGUAACUGAUCAGGUAGUGACGGUAUCCAACCAGAAAGCCACGGCUAACUACGUGCCAGCAGCCGCGGUAAUACGUAGGUGGCAAGCGUUGUCCGGAUUUAUUGGGCGUAAAGCGAGCGCAGGCGGUUUCUUAAGUCUGAUGUGAAAGCCUUCGGCUCAACCGAAGAAGUGCAUCGGAAACUGGGAAACUUGAGUGCAGAAGAGGACAGUGGAACUCCAUGUGUAGCGGUGAAAUGCGUAGAUAUAUGGAAGAACACCAGUGGCGAAGGCGGCUGUCUGGUCUGUAACUGACGCUGAGGCUCGAAAGCAUGGGUAGCAAACAGGAUUAGAUACCCUGGUAGUCCAUGCCGUAAACGAUGAGUGCUAGGUGUUGGAGGGUUUCCGCCCUUCAGUGCCGCAGCUAACGCAUUAAGCACUCCGCCUGGGGAGUACGACCGCAAGGUUGAAACUCAAAGGAAUUGACG